Molecule: long non-coding RNA, 532 nt
Filed under: Brassica rapa (field mustard)
Lineage: Eukaryota; Viridiplantae; Streptophyta; Magnoliopsida; Brassicales; Brassicaceae
Description: long non-coding RNA (BRAP_LNC005290)
Source: RNAcentral
AGACUUAGGGUUUAGAGUUGAGGGGUGGGGUAGGGUUUUUGGAAUGUGAAAUUUAUGAUUCUAAUAAAUAUAUAAAUACUUAAAAAAUAUAUAAAAAUUUUGAAAAAAUAGUUUCAAACAUAAUUUUCGUUUUUCAAAAAGAAAUUUGAAAAAAAAAAUUCAAAAAGAUUCAAAAAAAAAAAUUAUAAAAAAGUUCGAAUUUGAAAAGUAUAUUUCGAAAACAUAAAAACAUUUUUUUAUUUUUUUAUUUUUUUUUAAUUUUUUUAUUUUUUUUUUAUUUUUUUAGUUUUUAUUUUUAUUUUUUAUUUUUUUUAUUUUUUUAUAUAUAUUUUUUUACUUUUUAUAUUUUUUAUUUUUGUAUUUUUUUUAUUUAAAUGAUAAUUUAUUAUAUAUAUAAAUAAUAUGAGCAUAAGAGUCUUUUACCACUUAAUGAAGAAGAUAUUUUUGAAAAUGUCUCAUUAAUGGUGGUAAAAAUGAAAAGUGGUACCAUGAAAGUAGUAAAUAUGUAAUUUCCCCAAUUAUUAUGGUUAAC